Molecule: non-coding RNA, 26 nt
Filed under: Mus musculus (house mouse)
Lineage: Eukaryota; Metazoa; Chordata; Mammalia; Rodentia; Muridae
Source: RNAcentral
UACAGCUCAAGGUCUGGCAUGGUGAU